This 468-nucleotide ribosomal RNA is filed under the name uncultured bacterium. Its description in RNAcentral is "partial 16S ribosomal RNA". It matches the Rfam family "Bacterial small subunit ribosomal RNA", at positions 28 to 507 of the family's 1533-position model. The record is from RNAcentral.
GACGAACGCUGGCGGCGUGCUUAACACAUGCAAGUCGAACGGAAAGGCCCUGCUUUUGUGGGGUGCUCGAGUGGCGAACGGGUGAGUAACACGUGAGUAACCUGCCCUUGACUUUGGGAUAACUUCAGGAAACUGGGGCUAAUACCGGAUAGGAGCUCCUGCUGCAUGGUGGGGGUUGGAAAGUUUCGGCGGUGGGGGAUGGACUCGCGGCUUAUCAGCUUGUUGGCGGGGUAGUGGCUUACCAAGGCUUUGACGGGUAGCCGGCCUGAGAGGGUGACCGGCCACAUUGGGACUGAGAUACGGCCCAGACUCCUACGGGAGGCAGCAGUGGGGAAUAUUGCACAAUGGGCGGAAGCCUGAUGCAGCAACGCCGCGUGCGGGAUGACGGCCUUCGGGUUGUAACCCGCUUUCGCCUGUGACGAAGCGUGAGUGACGGUAAUGGGUAAAGAAGCACCGGCUAACUACGUG